Long non-coding RNA from Pantherophis guttatus, 579 nucleotides. RefSeq lists it as uncharacterized. Lineage: Eukaryota; Metazoa; Chordata; Lepidosauria; Squamata; Colubridae. The record is from RefSeq and is a predicted model, not a curated record.
UGAAUUGAGAAAUAGUUAUAUGAGUAAAUACUAAAACAUUAAUCAAAAGUGCAAAUCUAGAUCAGGGAGAGGAUAUUUUUGUGAUGGGUGGAGUGAUGCUAUCAAGAUAACAUGGGGACUGAACAGCAGUCAUUGUAGUGCAAUGAAAGUAGAACUGAUGCAGAUAAGUAUUCAAACUGAUUGAACAACUAAAUAAAAACAUUUUUUGAGAACUCAUUCUACUACACAACUUUCCAUUUGUAGAAGAUACUCCAGAUACUCCCACUGCUGAUGCUUUUGGAGUUUGGUGAAAGCUCAAUUAUUGCUAACUUCAGGGAAGAAAAUAAUUUAAAGUCAAUUAUUAGAAUUCUACAAAUAUCUGUGGUGGAAUAUAGUCUGGAUUCCCAGAAGGGAAAAGCUGCAUUCCAGAAGACCAAGAGACAGUAAGUUUAGAUACCAGAAGUUUGGUUGGAAGAAAGGAUCAAAAUAGCUCAUCCCUAGAAGUGUUCAGAGUAUAUUUUAAUGAGGUAGUAGUUGUUUUAUUUGGGCAAGAUUUCUGUCUGUAGGUGAGGAACAAUAAAGGAAACUGCUUAGAAGUAA